Molecule: transfer RNA, 74 nt
Filed under: Vulcanimicrobiota bacterium
Lineage: Bacteria; Bacillati; Vulcanimicrobiota
Description: tRNA-Ala
Rfam family: tRNA
About the family: Transfer RNA (tRNA) molecules are approximately 80 nucleotides in length. Their secondary structure includes four short double-helical elements and three loops (D, anti-codon, and T loops).
Source: RNAcentral
GCGCCCGUAGCUUAACAGGAUAGAGCGGUGCCUUCGCAAGGCCAAAGGUGGGGGUUCGAGUCCCUCCGGGCGCG